CGGCGGACGGGUGAGUAAUGCCUAGGAAUCUGCCUGGUAGUGGGGGACAACGUUUCGAAAGGAACGCUAAUACCGCAUACGUCCUACGGGAGAAAACAGGGGACCUUCGGGCCUUGCGCUAUCAGAUGAGCCUAGGUCGGAUUAGCUAGUUGGUGAGGUAAUGGCUCACCAAGGCGACGAUCCGUAACUGGUCUGAGAGGAUGAUCAGUCACACUGGAACUGAGACACGGUCCAGACUCCUACGGGAGGCAGCAGUG
Molecule: ribosomal RNA, 257 nt
Filed under: uncultured Pseudomonas sp.
Lineage: Bacteria; Pseudomonadati; Pseudomonadota; Gammaproteobacteria; Pseudomonadales; Pseudomonadaceae
Description: partial 16S ribosomal RNA
Rfam family: Bacterial small subunit ribosomal RNA
Source: RNAcentral